UCCUGGUGGGAGACCUAACUAAUGUUUUAAGAGGUUUGGCAAUUUCCAAAUCUCUUCUUGCUUUGGCACUAUACUCUAGGCACUAUACUAACUUCUGUUCAUGAGUCUGCUCCUAGCAGGACCACUCGUCCCACAGAUGUGGUCUUAUAUCCUUUUCAGCUGGGAAAUUGGGUCCUCCUAAAUAUCUGGAAAUAACAAGGACCUGAACACCAAUUUGCUGCCAAGUGGACAAGGCCAUUUGAGCUGCUGAAUGCACACUCAUCAGUUCAACUUGCUGGAGUAAAGCCAUGUGCACAUCAUACUCAGGUCAAGGCAGCACCACCAGAAGACACCCCACUAACCCAGGAAAACAGUGGGCUUGUGAGCCCCGGAAAGACCUAAAGCUACUCUUUCACAAAAAAGGUGAGCCACAGCGAGAAGACACCAUUCAUGAACCAGGACGACGUCCCUCGCCACACACUGAAUCUGCAAACGCAUUGAUCUUGAACUUCUCAGACUUCAGAACUCACCAAGACAGGCCCGACUGACCGCCAUGUGGCCCUGAGUCCAGCCGUGCAUACAGUGAGAAUACGAAGCACCAAUAACGUCACCGGGAGAAAGAGGAGGAAAAAAGACGCUGCUAACUCACCGCGAGGCAGAGGGCAAGUACAGACAAGAUUUGCAGAGACCGCAAG
This 674-nucleotide long non-coding RNA is filed under the name Callithrix jacchus (white-tufted-ear marmoset). RNAcentral describes it as "lncRNA (ENSCJAG00000077432.1)". The record is from RNAcentral. Lineage: Eukaryota; Metazoa; Chordata; Mammalia; Primates; Cebidae.